AUGCGUGAUCAGGUCGGCAUCGACCUGGAUGGCUUCCCACUCGACCACGAGUUUCCGGACGACUACGGGCUAGAGGAAGAGGACGAGUGCGACAUCGAAGUGGAGCCUUUGUUCGAGGACGAGCUCGCCAACCAAGCCGCCGGUCCUAAGCCGAAGCGCAAGAGCAAGCGCACGAAGGCAUACACGGCUGCCGAGGACAAGCUUCUUUGCGAGUGUUGGCGAGACAUUGGACAAGUCCCCAAGACGGGCGCCGAACAAAAGCAUUCAACCUUUUGAAUUCGUGUCCCCCGAGAGUUUCAUGGGCGCAAGAAGUUUCCGCCUUACCAAUUUGUGAGCACACGUGGGUGGGUGUCCAUUUCCAAGCGAUGGAGGGUGAUCCAACAAGAGUGCAACAAGUUUUGCGCCACUCUUGAGAGCGUCAAGGCCCGCCCCGUGAGUAGCAUCGGCAUGCAAGACAUGGUAUGCUAG
RNAcentral lists this ribosomal RNA (468 nucleotides) under Triticum aestivum (bread wheat). Its description in RNAcentral is "partial small subunit ribosomal RNA". Lineage: Eukaryota; Viridiplantae; Streptophyta; Magnoliopsida; Poales; Poaceae. The record is from RNAcentral.